Molecule: ribosomal RNA, 253 nt
Filed under: uncultured bacterium
Lineage: Bacteria
Description: partial 16S ribosomal RNA
Rfam family: Bacterial small subunit ribosomal RNA
Source: RNAcentral
UACGUAGGGGGCAAGCGUUGUCCGGAUUUAUUGGGCGUAAAGAGCGUGUAGGCGGCCGUACAGGUCAGCUGUGAAAACUCGAGGCUCAACCUCGAGACGUCGGUUGAAACCGUACGGCUAGAGUCCGGAAGAGGAGAGUGGAAUUCCCGGUGUAGCGGUGAAAUGCGCAGAUAUCGGGAAGAACACCCGUGGCGAAGGCGGCUCUCUGGGCCGAUACUGACGCUGAGGAGCGAAAGCGUGGGGAGCGAACAGG